This is an RNA transcript of Cyprinodon tularosa, 2031 nucleotides long. It is a transcript of the gene named purinergic receptor P2X, ligand-gated ion channel, 1, with no coding region annotated. NCBI's taxonomy places the organism in Eukaryota, Metazoa, Chordata, Actinopteri, Cyprinodontiformes, Cyprinodontidae. The record is from RefSeq and is a predicted model, not a curated record. The transcript has 15 exons.
CAUGCAAAUGUAAGAGAAAGUGAAAGAAAAUUACAGAUAGACUCAAACAAACACGACUGGCUGAGGAGACAGUGGCUCUGUGCACAGAGAGGGAGGGAAGCAGAGCUGGGCUGGAGGGAGGAACUCUUCACUCCUUCAAAUGAAGCUUGUCAGACAUUAGGAGAGGAGGCAGAAGAGAGUCUCAACAAGCCAAGAGCAGAAACAGAGUCAACUCAGAAAGGGGAUCUUUUUCUGUUUUUUUUUUUUCUAUAUGCCAUUGAGGUGACAAGACAGACCCUCCUUGUCUGUGGGUCAGCUGAGGAGAAAAGAUGAAGAACCAAAUCACCAGCGCCCUUUCUGACUUCUUCUUUGAGUAUGAGACCCCUCGCCAGGUGCUGGUGAGGAAUAAGAGGGUGGGACUUGUGUGCCGGUUCAUCCAGAUGGGGGUCCUGGUUUACAUCAUUGGGUGGGUCUUCAUUUAUGAGAAAGGUUACCAAUCCACAGACACAGCUGUGAGCUCUGUGUUCACCAAAAUGAAGGGAGUGGGCUACACCAACGUAAGCGGGAGGGAGACGGUGUGGGACGUGGCUGACUACGUCUUCCCCUCUCAGGGAGACUCAUCGUUCGUUGUGAUGACUAACUUCAUCAUUACCGAAGGUCAGAAGAUGGGAAAGUGUCCAGAGCUUACGGGUAAAUGCACCUCAAACGAUGACUGUACAGAGGGGAGUUACAAACGUACGGGACAUGGACAUAUGACUGGAGUCUGUGUGAACACAACAAAAACCUGUGAGGUGUUAGCGUGGUGCCCUGUUGAGAAUGACACCAUCAUACCAAAGCCUCCUCUUCUGACAUCUGCAGAAAACUACACACUUUUCAUCAAAAACUCUGUAACUUUCCCUCUAUUUGACGUCACAAGGAGUAAUUUGGUGGAGGGCAUUGAUGGGGCAUACCUCAAGAAAUGUCUUCACCAUCCGGAGAAUGAUCCACUCUGUCCUAUAUUCAAACUGGGAGACAUAGUUAAACACUCUGGCUUCAGUUUUGAAGAUUUAGCCCAGGAGGGAGGAGCUAUUGGUAUUGUGAUUGACUGGACAUGUAACUUCGAUGUUGAUGUAAAACACUGCAAACCUCAAUACAACUUUCACGGUCUCUAUGGAAACAAAGACAGCACGAAUGCAUCGCUUGGCUACAACUUCAGAUAUGCCAAGCAUUAUAUGGAGAAUAAUGAAGCCAAGAGGACCCUCCUCAAACUGUUUGGCAUCAGGUUUGAUAUCAUAGUGCAAUCACUGGCAAGAAAAUUUGAUAUAAUUCCAACACUCACAGCAAUAGGCUCAGGCGUGGGGAUUUUUGGAGUGGCGACUGUGGUCUGCGACUUGGUGCUGCUCUAUUUGCUACCAAAAAGAAAGUUUUACAAGAACAUGAAAUUCAAAUAUACAGACACUCACACACAGCUUUCAGUCCUUCUCAGCCUCAUAACAUGACACCAGGACAAUGACCUCCAGAAGAAUCAAGCAACAGCAGCAGAGAUUUCCUGCUGAAGCCUUAAAUCCUUGGCCACCUUACAACAUGACCUAAAACAGGAUCCUGAUUCAGAGGCUGGAAGCACAGAGACAGAGCAGAAGUAAAGCCAGUGGGAAGCCAUUUUCCAAAGUGAACUUCAGAGGAACCUCAUCAUGACAUGGAGGGAAACUCAAGCACAGACAUUGGAUCUUUAACAUAGACGUCCUUCCACUCCAUAAACUAAGCAGUGACUGUAAUUAUCUCCGUUUUAGAUGAAGCCAUCUAUAUACAAAUUGUAUGUGUACUUUUUUGGGUGUUACUCUGCUGUUCCUAAGAUGGGUGUAACCUUCACAACUUCAACCAUGUCUGAGAUAUGAAGAUGUGGAACUCUGUGUGUAUUCUAUGUGCACAUACAUGGCCUCACCCGGUUUACCCGUCAUUGCAAAUAAGGAGAGUAAACUUGUGUUUGCAUUUCUAACUAUAAACUGAUUCAAUGUUUAAACUGGUGAAUCAUCCCAUGGGUACAUUACAUGACAGACAGAUGGAUUAAAUAAA